GAUCCUGGCUCAGGACGAACGACUGGCGGCGUGCCUAAUACAUGCAAGUCGAACGAACUCUGGUAUUGAUUGGUGCUUGCAUCAUGAUUUACAUUUGAGUGAGUGGCGAACUGGUGAGUAACACGUGGGAAACCUGCCCAGAAGCGGGGGGAUAACACCUGGAAACAGAUGCUAAUACCGCAUAACAACUUGGACCGCAUGGUCCGAGUUUGAAAGAUGGCUUCGGCUAUCU
RNAcentral lists this ribosomal RNA (232 nucleotides) under uncultured bacterium. RNAcentral's name for it is "partial 16S ribosomal RNA". It matches the Rfam family "Bacterial small subunit ribosomal RNA", at positions 15 to 222 of the family's 1533-position model. The record is from RNAcentral.